Molecule: ribosomal RNA, 472 nt
Filed under: uncultured bacterium
Lineage: Bacteria
Description: bacterial SSU rRNA
Rfam family: Bacterial small subunit ribosomal RNA
Source: RNAcentral
UGGGGAAUUGUUCACAAUGGGCGCAAGCCUGAUGACGCAACGCCGCGUGGGGGAUGAAGGUCUUCGGAUCGUAAACCCCUGUCGAAUGGGACGAAAGACUCGCGAGUGAAUACUUCGCGAGAGUGACGGUACCGUUAAAGGAAGCCACGGCUAACUCUGUGCCAGCAGCCGCGGUAAUACAGAGGUGGCAAGCGUUGUUCGGAAUUACUGGGCGUAAAGGGCGCGUAGGCGGCCCUCUAAGUCAGGCGUGAAAUCCCCCGGCUUAACCUGGGAACUGCGUCUGAUACUGGAGGGCUUGAGUAUGGGAGAGGGAUGUAGAAUUCCAGGUGUAGCGGUGAAAUGCGUAGAUAUCUGGAGGAAUACCGGUGGCGAAGGCGGCAUCCUGGACCAUUACUGACGCUGAGGCGCGAAAGCUAGGGGAGCAAACGGGAUUAGAUACCCAGUAGUCCCUGAGCGGGCUGGCAAGGCGCAU